UGCAGCAGAAGACCCCAGCGUUUU
This 24-nucleotide unclassified non-coding RNA is filed under the name Mus musculus (house mouse). RNAcentral describes it as "oocyte_clustered_small_RNA6439". The record is from RNAcentral. Lineage: Eukaryota; Metazoa; Chordata; Mammalia; Rodentia; Muridae.